Molecule: ribosomal RNA, 253 nt
Filed under: uncultured bacterium
Lineage: Bacteria
Description: partial 16S ribosomal RNA
Rfam family: Bacterial small subunit ribosomal RNA
Source: RNAcentral
UACGUAGGGCGCAAGCGUUGUCCGGAAUUAUUGGGCGUAAAGAGCUCGUAGGCGGUUUGUCGCGUCUGCUGUGAAAACUCGAGGCUCAACCUCGGGCUUGCAGUGGGUACGGGCAGACUAGAGUGCGGUAGGGGAGACUGGAAUUCCUGGUGUAGCGGUGGAAUGCGCAGAUAUCAGGAGGAACACCGAUGGCGAAGGCAGGUCUCUGGGCCGCAACUGACGCUGAGACGCGAAAGCGUGGGGAGCGAACAGG